CGAGCUUUAAAGUAUUCUAGUUCCUGAAGGCAGCCGAGGUGCAGCCGUGCGAGCGGAGCUAGUCGCUUUAUGGCGUAAGAUGUAGGUGCACAGUCAUUUCUGUAGCCUACGGAUGCGCCAUUCCUUGGUGGAUUUAUUGGAAUGUUUCGGGUCAUUGUCAUGCUGCAAGGUCCACUUUCGGUUGAGCUUUAAGCUUCUAACAGAUGGUCUCAUAUUGUCCUUAAGCAACCUCUGAUACCACCCUGAGGAGACUCCAAAAAGCUGCACAAAUGCAGAGCAGAUGUUUCAUAUUGUAUGGGGACUAUCAGAGUCACCCUCAU
Molecule: long non-coding RNA, 320 nt
Organism: Python bivittatus (Burmese python)
Lineage: Eukaryota; Metazoa; Chordata; Lepidosauria; Squamata; Pythonidae
Source: RefSeq, a predicted model, not a curated record